UUUAGGUUUAUUGCUAUUUCCUCCUUUAAUAUUGUAGUAAUUAUCACAAAACCUGCUAGCAGCUGAUUGCCUCUGAAAAAGACAGGUGGCGAUGUCGUUGAUUCCGAAGUCUAAGGAUGAGUGCAGUGUUUUACAUGGCCACGCAAAUCCAGUUGCGACCUACAUGUUUUCCCACAACUAGUGCAGACAAAGCCUUUGUCCGGCGGGGUCUACUUAUGUUUUCUUUACGUCUUUUGCGCUGGUCUUCUACGAUGGUUUUCUUCGGGCCUCCUAUGUGUGUCCCGCAGCCUUUGUGAGAGCUUCCUUCAGGGACCAGUUAAGUUACUUGUAAGACCUCAAAAGGAAUACGAGCGAUUUUUUUCUGAUUUUUCAAACAUUAAACUCCUGAAUUACAUGAUCCUUCAUUUUCCAACAAUCCGACUAGAGAAUUAGAAUGUAAACAUUCGAGAAUUAGCUCUAGACCUCAGAACUGUCUGUCAGCUUUGGCAUUGCUGCCAGAACCAUAAGCCAAGCCAUUGACGUGUCCUCACUUUUGAUUUCAUCUAGAUCUACUGUGGAGCCACAACAACUAUUUGAUUUCAUCUAGAUCUACUGUGGAGCCACAACAACUAUUUGAUUUCAUCUAGAUCUACUGUGGAGCCACAACAACUAUUUGAUUUCAUCUAGAUCUACUGUGGAGCCACAACAACUAUUUGAUUUCAUCUAGAUCUACUGUGGAGCCACAACAACUAUUUGAUUUCAUCUAGAUCUACUGUGGAGCCACAACAACUAUUUAAUUUCAUCUAGAUCUACUGUGGAGCCACAACAACUAUUUGAUUUCAUCUAGAUCUACUGUGGAGCCACAACAACUAUUUAAUUUCAUCUAGAUCUACUGUGGAGCCACAACAACUAUUUAAUUUCAUCUAGAUCUACUGUGGAGCCACAACACUGUGGAAUGUUUCUCGGCGCUAAGCAAAAAGAACUUUAUAUUUUUAUGCAAAUUGUCUCACAUAGUAAUCGUGGAGCUUAUCUAUUACGUCAUCUAGACGACAGACAUCGGUACAUUUCCAGUGAACAAUGUUGGUACGAAACAGUUUGAUUGUUAGAAUCUUACAUUGUUUGACAGUAGUUUUGUAAUCGGUACAAAUCAUCAAGUGUGUGGUGAGGUUACAAUUUAGUUUCGUUUUAAUGUUUUCUCUCUCAGACUUGAAGGGUUAGAACUCAAAUAAAUGAACUUCUAUGUGAUCUAGCUGUCUCAACACUGCUGCUGCAAGUCUCCCUUCAUAGAUUUCAUAACUUGAUUCAUUCUAGAUCCCAGGCUAAGAUGACGAACACAAUAAACAUCUGAACCAAACAUCUGAACCAAACAUUUGAACCAAACAUCUGAACCAAACAUCUGAACCAAACAUUUGAACCAAACAUCUGAACCAAACAUCUGAACCAAACGUCUGAAUGAAACAUUUGAAUCAAACAUCUGAACCAAACGUCUGAAUGAAACAUUUGAAUCAUACAUCUGAACCAAACGUCUGAAUGAAACAUUUGAAUCAAACAUCUGAACCAAACGUCUGAAUGAAACAUUUGAAUCAUACAUCUGAAGAUUAACUUUAAAUGCUAAAAUGACCAAUAAAAAAAAACAAAAUAAAAAAAAAAUUAUCAAACAUUUGAUCAAACAAGUAAAUCAGAAUCAACACGGUGACAUAGAUAGAAACUCAAAGUCGACCCCCAAAGUGGUUCACUAAGGCAGGUAAAAAGACAGGCUUCAAUAUUUUCAGCAUGAAUUUCAGAAGCUAAAAACUCUAAACUAUCAAUAACCACAACUCUUGUCUCCGCCAGUUCAAAAAGAAAAGAGUUGUACGUAUCGAAAGUGUUGCCAAUGCUAUUGUUUUGUUAGGCCGACUGACGACAUACCAUAGGAUACGGACAAUUAUUAAUGUUGUUAUCUUAUCUUGUAAAUAACAAUAACUGAUGAGAUUAAAUAAUAACUUAAUUAAUGUUUUUGUUAAGGGACAAUCUCACAUUCCAGGGCCUCAAUGAAGAAACUUUUCCCUUUAGUUAAACGCUUUGCAUUAUGAAGUGUUUGUUUUACCCCACUUUUUAGAUACUAAACACUGGUUAUUAAUUGUUGAUGUAACAUUUAUUCGACUUAUAUACAUAUUAAAUGCAUUCUUUCACUUAAAAAAAAGAAACAUUUAUUGAAAAGGUAAGUAGAUUGUAGAAUGAAAACCAUUUAACUUAUUAAAACAGAUAUUUUUUAUAAAAUAUUUUUUUUAACAAUACAAAACCGUUUGCAUAAAAGUUUUAAAAAAUAUAUACAGGAGACUUAUUCGUCUUCACGAUAUA
Molecule: long non-coding RNA, 2319 nt
Organism: Biomphalaria glabrata
Lineage: Eukaryota; Metazoa; Mollusca; Gastropoda; Planorbidae
Exons: 2
Source: RefSeq, a predicted model, not a curated record